This is an RNA transcript of Eucalyptus grandis, 970 nucleotides long. RefSeq lists it as uncharacterized. The record is from RefSeq and is a predicted model, not a curated record. Lineage: Eukaryota; Viridiplantae; Streptophyta; Magnoliopsida; Myrtales; Myrtaceae. The transcript has 4 exons.
AUGGAGGAAAACCCUUGCGGCGAGAUCAGCUCCGGCGAUGACAGCGUCGCCGAUCAAAAACCGCGCUUCGUCACGGAUGAAUCCGCUCCGGUAGGACGCCGAUCGAAGCUCCGAGUCUCCAUCAACUGCCGGACAACAAAAUCUCCCUCCUCCGCAGCCGGCGGAACCCGAGCUUCAGCGAAUCAUCCGCCGAAUCUCCGACUUCUCCUUCUCCAUCUCCCCACUCCUCGUCCUUGGCCUCAGCGUCGAUCAGUCGAAUCUUCAAAGGGAAGGCUCCGGCGACGGCGAGGGUGAGCCUCGAGAACGGCGGUAGUGGCGGCGACCCCCGCGGCGGCCGGCAAGCGUAUAGGAGCACAAGGACGGUGGUGGAGGUGCUGCGGGAGCUGGACGCGGACAUAGUGGCGCUGCAGGACGUGAAGGCGGAGGAGGAGAGGGAGAUGAAGCCGCUGUCGGAGCUCGCGGCGGCGCUGGGGAUGAGCUACGCGUUCACCGAGAGCUGGGCGCCAGAGUACGGCAACGCCGUCCUCUCCCGGUGGCCGAUCAAGCACUGGAAGGUCCAGAAGAUAUUCGACAACACCAAUUUCAGGAAUGUGCUGAAGGCGACAAUAGAAGUGCCUCAUGUUGGGGAAGAGAAUUUCCAGUGCAUCCACCUGGAUCAUCUCGACGAGAAUUGGCGAUGAAGCAGGUCGGCGCCAUCAUCCAGUCGAGUGACUCCCCCCACAUCUUGGCCGGCGGCCUCAACUCUCUUGACGAGACUGAUUACUCACAAGAGCAGUGGACUGACAUCGUCAAGUUCUAUGAGGAGAUAGGAAAACCAACCCCAAAGGUUGAAGUCAUGAGGUUUCUGAAGAGCAAGCAGUACACAGAUGCUAAGGACUUCUCUGGAGAAUGCGAGUCCAUGGUCGUCAUUGCCAAAGGACAAAGCAUGCAAGGACAUGCAAAUACGGUACAAGGGUGGACUACAUACUAG